GGCCCCGUAGCUCAGGGGAUAGAGCAACGGUUUCCUAAACCGCAGGUCGGAGGUUCAAUUCCUCUCGGGGCCACCA
RNAcentral lists this transfer RNA (76 nucleotides) under Guptibacillus hwajinpoensis. RNAcentral describes it as "tRNA-Arg". It matches the Rfam family "tRNA". Rfam says of the family: Transfer RNA (tRNA) molecules are approximately 80 nucleotides in length. Their secondary structure includes four short double-helical elements and three loops (D, anti-codon, and T loops). Further hydrogen bonds mediate the characteristic L-shaped molecular structure. tRNAs have two regions of fundamental functional importance: the anti-codon, which is responsible for specific mRNA codon recognition, and the 3' end, to which the tRNAs corresponding amino acid is attached (by aminoacyl-tRNA synthetases). tRNAs cope with the degeneracy of the genetic code in two manners: having more than one tRNA (with a specific anti-codon) for a particular amino acid; and 'wobble' base-pairing, i.e. permitting non-standard base-pairing at the 3rd anti-codon position. RNAcentral also lists the same sequence under 2 other names. Lineage: Bacteria; Bacillati; Bacillota; Bacilli; Caryophanales; Guptibacillaceae. The record is from RNAcentral.